AGGAGAUGUUGGGCAAGGAAUGACCAAAGAGCCAAAGGAAGUGAGAUCUGAUGGUCAGGGAGUUUUUCAGGGACUUCCCAGAUCUCAUUUCCCUCCCCCACCCUCCACCUCCAUUACAACAGUGCAGGCCCCUUGAGGGUCUCUGGCCUCUGCUUGGUUUUCCAGAUGCACUCCCCAAGCCUUCCCUCUCAGCCCGACUUGCUCAAAGGUGGUGUCAGGGGCGAACAUGACCCUCCCUUGCUGGGGGCCCUCAUGGAGUGGUAGCUUUGUUCUGGACAAGGUUGGAGAUAAGAAAAUGCUGCCCAGCACUGAUACCACUGGAGAUGGGGCCAAGUUCUUUCUGACUCAUGUGACCCCCCAGGCACUCUGGCAAUUACAGCUGCAGCCACCAGCUUCUCACCAUUGGAAGUCUCUGGACACAACACAGUGACCCCCUGCAGCUCACAGUGACAGGUGAGAGGAAGAAGCCCGCUGGAGGACCCACUGGAGGGAGCCAAGGACCACUUCCACCUUCUGCCUCUACAAGGAAAUGAAACCAAGGCCUUAGCUCUAGCCAAGAGACAUAGGAUAAGAGACAACAGAGACUUUGAUAUUUUCCCCAAUUCCAGGCCCAUAGAGACCAAGGGUGUCAAGUUGUGAAAUGAAGCUUCCCUCAUACUUACCUGUGACCCACAUAUCUUGAUCCAGCUCUCUGGGUUUCUCAACCUAGUUCCAAAGGAUAAGCCCACUCUGAGCAGCAUGUGUGCCAAACUGUUGGAUGCCGGUGGUGAUGGGCAUCUCUGGAGGGAGAUAAGAGAAGAAAAUACAGGGACACUUUCAAGGGCAAGGUGUCUUUGUUGCCCUUGUCUUUCCUGGAGUUCCUGCCUGCCCAUCAGCCUGAAGUCCCCCGAGAGGAGACCCUGUAUACAGAAGUGGCCAAGGAGAGACCAAGGGAACCAUCGUCACCCAAUGUGAGGCCUCUGAACUCAUCGGGGCGAGUUGUUAGUAUUCCAGUAACUACACCUGAGUAUCAUUUAUUUCCUUUGGGAUUGUAUGGAAUUCAUUUCAUGUAAUUAAAGGAAUGGGACUGAGAAGCCUUCAUGGCUUGCAUCAGACAGGCUGUCGGAGCAUUCACGACGCACCGAUCGAUGAAGAGUCAAAAAAGAAGAGGGCAGAGAACAGAGCGCAGAAGAGACGGAAGGACGAUCAGGCACAGCUGCCUACCUAGACCGAGACCGCCAUGAUCUGCAACUGAGCCACAGAUUGGAGGCAGCAAAAUAUAAAAGUGAGUCGGAUCUAAGCAAGCAGCGCUUGGAAGAAUCAACGUGGAGCAAUGCGGAGCAGCAGAGGAGUUUGAAAUAGACUACAAGACCAUGGGAAACAGGUCUAUCCAGCAGAUGCUAUAAGAUCCCCGGUCCCAGUGGGAGCAGCAAAAAAAUAGAUAAAUGAAUAAACAGAUAGAUAGAUAGAUAGAUAGAUAGAUAGAUAGAUAGAUAGAUAGAUAGAUAAAUGAAUGAAGGGAUAAAUAAACAAAAACAAAAAACAUUGAUUAGAAGGUCAGUUUCAAAAACUUUGGGAACACACUGUUGCUUCUGCUCUUGGGGAUUCAGCAAUGUUGGCCACCAGACCCACACAAACAAACUUCUGUUCCCGUCACAGUAUACGACUAUGUGUGAAUGGAAACCACACUUUGGGCUGCUUCCUCAGCAGCCCAAAGAGCUCACAUGUCUGCAUUCCCUACUACUACAGCUCACGAGCCCCUAUGGAUGUGCUUCAACUUUGACAGUCAGCUAGUAGAAAAAAAAUAAGCUCGAAGAAAAGAGAUUUUCUUGGUAGGCCUAAGGAACACUUUACCACAAACACAUACUCUAUCCAUAGGAAAAAGAGAAAAAUGAACAGAAAUCAGAAAACAUUACAUACA
Molecule: long non-coding RNA, 1900 nt
Organism: Phascolarctos cinereus (koala)
Lineage: Eukaryota; Metazoa; Chordata; Mammalia; Diprotodontia; Phascolarctidae
Source: RefSeq, a predicted model, not a curated record